GAGCGCAAGGUCAUUUAUCGCGUUCUACGCGUAAUGAAUAGGACGCAGCCGUUUAUGCCGCUUAUCUUAAAAAUAAUAAUAAACAGUCUACAUAUAGCCUAUGGUAAAAAAAAACAUUCACUGAUGCUCAACAGUGUGUGCAGCCUAUACCUUAUGGUUCAGGGUGAAUAUAUCCAAUCAUCAAAUCAAAUUCAAGCAGUCCAGACUGGUGAAGGGGCGAGGCGAUAAGGUGGUCCAGACUCCAGUCGAGGGAGGAGCAACAGCUAUCCAUGCAUCACACUCCGAGGAACCUGUUAGAAAACUGACAGACCUGAUCAACACUCCCACACAGCUGCACAAAUUGCCCACAAACCAGUCAGCAGAUGGGCUGGCUUGUGUGAGACCCACAUAACUGACAGAAAAGAUUACAAUCUUAACAAACAAAUGUGCCUGAAAGUAAACACUGCCCAGACUAGCUAGCAUCUCAUGUGGCCCACCGUAGAAUGGUCUUCAUUGCUAUUUGCAGCUAUUUUACUAUUAUUUGCCUGUUAUUACAUUUAAUUUAGAAGAAUAUAGGACUGUGUCAUAUAUUUGUACUCUAACAAAAGUGAGCCUAGCCGGUGCUAGUUUACCAAGAACACCUAAUUUAAUUACAAAGAGAUCCAAUUUCCUGAGCACAAUAGUGGCAUCAUCAUUUCCUUCCCUGCCUUAUAAUUUCAUAUUUUAUGAUAACAAUAUAAGACAAAUAAUAGAACACUUGCAUUGGAACAACUAUUUUUUUUCAAACGUAAAGUUAAAACGAUUGACUGACUAUAUAAUUAAAAACGUAUUGAUUGUAGCCCAUAGCUGACAUUAAAACUCAGUGGGCCAGUAAAUUUAGUCAAAGAAUGCUCAGGUAUGUAUCGCCACCAUGUGGCUACCUUGUGAAGUUACGCCUUCAUGUAGCGAUCGCCGCAUCUUAAUGACCCGAUAUUCCACAAGAAACACAUGAACAUGGCCCAUAAAGAGAAAACCCCUAUGCGCGUUUGGCGUCAGACCAUUUCAUUAAUUUAUUGCUAUAUUCCGAAACGCCAAGUGUAGCCUAUAGACUUUCCAUGUAUGAUAAUAAAUAACGUAAAGAUCAAUAUCAACUGUCCCGUUUUCAUCGCAUUGGUCAAAUCUAGUCUACGUCGUGCGCGCUUUUAGUCUAUCCUGAUUACUCCAGCUGCUCCACUUCGUAUUCCGUUUCUGUUCGCGUGCGGUGUAUACUUGGUGUCAAUGUAACCUACUGUAGGUAGAGGAAAAAUCGCCAUUGUAACGUUAUUCAUUUUUUCUCGACUGGAACUAGUACAACGAUACUGCUUUGUUAUGGUUUUUGGAUUUGCCUAAAUUUCAUAUUUAGAUAGGGUGGUUUUAAGGACUACAGAGAUUGUAACAUAUGAAAUAAGACAGACGCAAAGAGGAUGUGGCCCAGAAACCAGGUCGAUGAAAUAUUGGCGCUAUCAUGAGAGGAAAUGGUAUGGACCUUUUAUGGAGAAUCUUAGCGGCUCUGAGCUUCGAUUGUUUUAAGGAUUCGGCGUCUUCACAGAGGUGAGUGUGAGAAAAUCUAAUUUUUCCCAAUGACCAUAAUUGUUUGUAUGAUAUCCCACAGUUUGUUAUGCCAUUAUAUAUUACAAAUGAACAAAAAUGUAAAGGCAACAUGCAACAAUUUCAAAGAUUUUACCGAGUUACAGUUCAUAUAAGGAUAUCAUUCAAUUUAAAUAAAUUAUUUAGGCCCUAAUCUAUGGAUUUCAUGACUGGGAAUACAGAUAUGCUUCUGUUGUGCACAGAUGCCUUAAAAAAAAGGUAGGGGCAUGAAUCAGAACCAGUCAGUAUCUAGUGUGACCAUCCAUUUUCCAGUGCCUCAUGCAGCACAAGACAUCUCCUUCGCAUAACGGUGAUCAGGCUGUUGAUUGUGGUCUGUGGAAUGUUGUCCCACUCCUCUUCAAUGGCUGUGUGAAGUUGCUGGAUAUUGGUGGGAACUGGAACACUCUGUCAUACAUGUCGAUCCAGAGCAUCCCACACAUGCUCAAUGGGUGUCAUGUUUGGUGAGUAUGCAGGCCAUGGAAGAACUGGGACAUCUUCAGCUUCCAAGAAUUGUGUACAGACCCUUGCAACAUGUGGCCAUGCAUUAUCAUGGUGAAACAUGAGGGGAUGGUGGCAGAUUAAUGGUACGACAAUGGGCCUCAGGAUCUAGUCACGGUAUCUCUGUGUAUUCAAAUUGCCAUUGAUCAAAUGCAAUUGCGUUUGUUGUCCCGUAGCUUAUGCCUGCCCAUACCAUAACCCUACCGCCACCAUGGGGCACUCUGUUCCCAACAUUGACAUCAGCAAACCGAUCACCCACAAACGCCAUACACGCUGUCUGCCAUCUGUCCGGUACACUUGAAACCGGGAUUAAUCCGUGAAGAACACACUUCUCCAGUGGCCAUCGAAAGGUGUGAAUUUGCCCGCUAAAGUCACUUACAAUGUCGAACUGCAGUCAGAUCAAGACCCUGGUGAGCACGACGAGCAUGUAGAUGAGCUUCCCUGAGAAGGUUUCUAACAGUUUGUGGAUAAAUUCUUCAGUUGUGCAAACCCAUAGUUUUAUCAGCUUUCUGGGUGGCGUGUCUCAAACAAUCCCGCAGGUGAAUAAGCCGCAUGUGGAGGUCCUGGACUGGCGUGGUUGUGAGGCCAGUUGGACUAAAUUCCCUAAAAUGACGUUGGAUGCGGCUUAUGGUAGAGAAAUUAACAUUCAGUUCUCUGGAAACAGCUCUGGUGGACAUUCCUGCAGUAAGCAUGCCAGUUGCAUGCUCCCUCAACUUGAGACAUCUGUGGCAUUGAGUUGUGACAAAACUGCACAUUUUAGUGGCCUUUUGUCCCCAGCACAAGGUGCACCUGUGUAAUGAUCAUGCUGUUUAAUCCGCUCCUUGAUUAUGCCACACCUGUCAGGUGGAUGGAUUAUCUUGGCAAAUGAUAAAUGCUCACUAACAGGGAUCUAAACAAAUUUGCGCCAGAAUUUGAGAGAAAUGAGCUUUUUGUGCAUAUGGAAUAUUUCUGGGAUCUUUUAUUUCAGCUCAUGAAACAUGGGACCAACACGUUACAUGUUGUGCUUUAUAUUUUUUCGGUAUAUUAUGGAGUCAGAGCCGAAGUGUCAAUAUCACAGUAAGUAAUAUUUCAUUUCCGUUUUAAGACUAGAUUAAUAGCAUAUGGAUCAUCUAUUUGAUCCCCCCCUCUAUAAGAGUGUGUGAAUUGUAACAAUAUAUUUGCUAUGAAGAAAAAAUCCAUCCUUUAGUUGUUAUGACAAAAGGUUUGUGAAGCAAAAAGGUUUACCUCCAUUCUCCAGCAUUGUCUUCAUGAGACACAUUAUGAAAGGUAUGAAAUAAUGUGUUACAUGACCACAAAUGUAGCCAGAAAUGCAUCUGACUUUGUUGGAAACCCUUUGUUAAACCAAAACAUAUCAUACAGUGUAUAUCAUACUGAAAAUGCAAUGACAUCUGCAUGUAUGAUAUGUGUUUUCUAUUCAGGAUUGCUGAAUGAUAGUUUCUAUACUUAUAUGAUCCUAUUACAUACCAUUUUGCCCCACAGCAUUUGUUUGGGAUAAAUUCAUUUUAGAAGAUUCAGAGUACUACACUGUAUAGUCUUUACCAUUGCACUUCAGCAAACACCUUGUCACGCCUACUUCUGCUCCCUCCCUCGGGCACUCAACGUCAACGGUCUACUAACUACCAGUCCUGGCAACCCACAUUGCGUAAACCUGGCAACCAUCAUGGCGCACACCUGCUCCCCAUUGUUAAGCACACCUGGACUUCAUCACCACCCUGAUUACUUUCCCUUCAUAUAGCCCUCAGUAAUCCUCAGUCAUCAGGCAGUAUUGGGUUUUGGUCACGUUCAGUACGCGUAUCCUGUUUUGUAUUUUCUUCAUGUUUAUCAUUAUUAAACUCACCUUCUGCGCCUGCUCCCUGACUCCCUGUGUAUACAUUACACAUCUCUUACCCAGAGUCCAACCCCUAACUUCUCAUCCCCUCUGUAGGUCUCCAGGCAAGCUGAGCUCCAGCCAGGCAGGUAGUCUGGAAAGCAGCUCCCUGACUGGCUCUCUCUCCUUGGGGCCAGACCUGCCUCACUGCCAGUGCUGCAUCUCCUACGAAGCCCGUCUGAAACGCCUGUCCUGUGGCCACCUCUACUGUGACCCCUGCACAGACCAGAUCGUCAACCUGGCCUUUGAGGACAUCGAGGGACUCUCUGAUUACCCCUGCCCCAUGUGCAAGUCCCUCCGCCAGCUUGGGGACCUGGGCCCCCCCUCUUAUGGGUACCUGGGUACCCCCUCUUUUGGGCCAUGUGGGACCCUGCAGUAGCAGGUGGCUAAAGAGCAUGGGAGCAGCUGGGGGUAAAACUGAGGCAGUUUAUACUGUACAUCAAGGGGUGUGGUUAAAAAACAAAUGCAUGUUGUCCCCUCUCCAGAUGAAAUACUGUAGGAACCAUUUAGACUUUUCAGUUAUGUCUUUAGUGUUUUGAUUUGAAUAUUUGAAUGCACUGCCUUACACUGAGAUUGUGAUCUGGUAUUGUGUGAUGGAUAGUGGCUCAGUGUUUCUUCUUUGUGUAAUAUGGUGGUGGAAGUGAAACUAAUGGAAGUGCAUAACAUUACAGAUAAUGUCCAUUGGUGUGCCAUGACAUACUGUAAAUUGAUAUUACAGGGUGAUUAAGCCAGAGCUAAGUAUUAGAUGUUUGUGUCAGACAGUUCUUUACAUUUAUGUGUACUGCUUAUUAUUAGUAGACAUUUGGACCUUACUUAAAAAAUAUGAUAUUUUGAGUAUACUUACUGCUUAUGCAUUUUAAUUUAACUUAAUUGUACAGUGCCAUGCUACUUUUAAAGUGUUCAAUAUCAUAUUGUAAAUAUAUAUUUUGCUAAAAAAAUAAAGUUUGUGAAUUGUA
Molecule: long non-coding RNA, 4905 nt
Organism: Oncorhynchus tshawytscha (Chinook salmon)
Lineage: Eukaryota; Metazoa; Chordata; Actinopteri; Salmoniformes; Salmonidae
Source: Ensembl